CAAGCAUUUAUGAAUGUAUCGCAGAGAGGAAACCUUGAAGAACAUUGAAUUUAAUUGCUCCUCAGACUUUCUUAAAUGAAACUCGAACAUAAUUCAUUUUCCAACAUAUUGCCAUUACCCUUGGAACAGGGCAGGGCCCACUCUCGUAUCAACGCCUCUCGAAAGUUCACUUGUAAUGUAUUUAAAUGAGAGACAUGCCCAUAACCAGCGCCAUUCUCCCUCUCUCGGGCCAACUCACACGUCGUGACUGCAAAACUUUUGCUAUUAUUAAGGGCCUCAUUGUCGGUUUUGUUGGACCCAAGCGACUGUCCGCCGCCAGCGGCCCGGUCCCCUCAUGUGUGGCAGUAGUUGGGGCAAAACUCAGAUGCGUUGGGCCUCCUGUCCUCCUGCACAGGACCCAGGCCACACAAUAAAGAACAAUAUAUUUCACACAACUUUGUUCAUAUUUUUAAUGUCAGGAGUAUAAUAAUUACGUUCAUUGACUUUGCUAAGUAGCCUACUUUAUGCUAAUGUGAUUUCGUUGCACAAAGCUGGGCAGGAGUGCUCCAAGAAGAAGUUUGGUCUGGAAUAUUUUUACAUAAUUGAAUAAACAGAAUAUACAGGAGUGUCCAGAAGUGACU
This 620-nucleotide long non-coding RNA is filed under the name Drosophila guanche. The record is from RNAcentral. Lineage: Eukaryota; Metazoa; Arthropoda; Insecta; Diptera; Drosophilidae.